This 236-nucleotide ribosomal RNA is filed under the name uncultured bacterium. Its description in RNAcentral is "partial 16S ribosomal RNA". It matches the Rfam family "Bacterial small subunit ribosomal RNA", at positions 118 to 353 of the family's 1533-position model. The record is from RNAcentral.
UGAGCAAUCUGCCCUUCUCAUCGGAAUAAGCGUUGGAAACGACGUCUAAUGCCGAAUACGACCUCCUUUUGCAUGAUCGGAGGUGGAAAGCUCCGGCGGAGAAGGAUGAACUCGCGGCCUAUCAGCUAGUUGGUGUGGUAAUGGCCCACCAAGGCGACGACGGGUAGCCGGCCUGAGAGGGUGACCGGCCACACGUGGGACUGAGACACGGCCCAGACCUCCUACGGGGAGNAGCG